This 325-nucleotide unclassified non-coding RNA is filed under the name uncultured fungus. RNAcentral's name for it is "partial contains small subunit ribosomal RNA, internal transcribed spacer 1, and 5.8S ribosomal RNA". The stretch from base 1 to 73 matches the Rfam family "Eukaryotic small subunit ribosomal RNA", at positions 1759 to 1831 of the family's 1831-position model. The record is from RNAcentral. Lineage: Eukaryota; Fungi.
ACAAACUUGGUCAUUUAGAGGAAGUAAAAGUCGUAACAAGGUUUCCGUAGGUGAACCUGCGGAAGGAUCAUUACCGAGUUAGGGUAGUCACUUACUGCCCGACCUCCCAACCCUGUGUCUACCACACUUUGUCGUUGCUUCGGCGGACCGGUUGACCAACUGGUCGUGACCGCCGGGGGCUGGCUCUGUCCCCCCUGGAGAGCGUCCGCCGAUGGCCCAACCACAAAACUCUUGUACCGAAACGUGUCGUCUGAAUUGUGAGAAAUCAAAAAACAAAACUUUCAACAACGGAUCUCUUGGUUCUGGCAUCGAUGAAGAACGCAGC